RNAcentral lists this ribosomal RNA (406 nucleotides) under uncultured bacterium. Its description in RNAcentral is "partial 16S ribosomal RNA". It matches the Rfam family "Bacterial small subunit ribosomal RNA", at positions 30 to 526 of the family's 1533-position model. The record is from RNAcentral.
CUUGAACGCUGGCGGCAGGCCUAACACAUGCAUGUCGAAUGAGUGGCGGACGCGUGAGUAAUGUCUGGGAAACUGCCCGAUGGAGGGGGAUAAUUACUGGAAACGGUAGCUAAUACCGCAUACCAUCGGAUGUUCCCAGAUGGGAUGAGCUAGUAGGUGGGGUGAUGGCUCACCUAGGCGACGAUCCCUAGCUGGUCUGAGAGGAUGACCAGCCACACUGGGACUUGGACUCGGUCCAAGCGACUACGGUAGGGAGCAGUGGGGAAUAUUGCAAAAUGGAGGCAAACCUGAUGCAGCCAUGCCGCGUGUAUGAAGAAGGCCUUCGGGUUGUAAAGUAAUUUCGGCGCAGCGGCGUUACGCGCAGAAGAAGCACCGGCUAACUCCGUGCCAGCAGCCGCGGUAAUAC